Molecule: ribosomal RNA, 306 nt
Filed under: Amoebophrya sp.
Lineage: Eukaryota; Dinophyceae; Syndiniales; Amoebophryaceae
Description: SSU rRNA
Rfam family: Eukaryotic small subunit ribosomal RNA
Source: RNAcentral
UAGCGUAUAUUAAAGUUGUUGCGGUUAAAAAGCUCGUAGUUGGAUUUCUGUUGUGGGCAGCCGGUCCACACUAUGUGUGAGUAUCUGGUUUGACCACGGCAUCCUCCUGAUGAACGUAGUGUGCUUUGCUGCAUGGUACGGCUCUCAGGACUUUUACUUUGAGGAAAUUAGAGUGUUCACGGCAGGCGAUCGCCUUGAAUAUAUUAGCAUGGAAUAAUGAUCUAGGCGACCGAGUCUAUUUUGUUGGUUUCUAGACUCAGUCGAAUGGUUAAUAGGGACAGUUGGGGGCAUUCGUAUUAUGACGUC